RNAcentral lists this ribosomal RNA (429 nucleotides) under Chloroflexota bacterium. Its description in RNAcentral is "Chloroflexi bacterium partial 16S ribosomal RNA". It matches the Rfam family "Bacterial small subunit ribosomal RNA", at positions 355 to 776 of the family's 1533-position model. The record is from RNAcentral. Lineage: Bacteria; Bacillati; Chloroflexota.
UGGGGAAUAUUGCACAAUGGGCGCAAGCCUGAUGCAGCCAUGCCGCGUGUAUGAAGAAGGCCUCCGGGUUGUAAAGUACUUUCAGCGGGGAGGAAGGGAGUAAAGUUAAUACCUUUGCUCAUUGACGUUACCCGCAGAAGAAGCACCGGCUAACUCCGUGCCAGCAGCCGCGGUAAUACGGAGGGUGCAAGCGUUAAUCGGAAUUACUGGGCGUAAAGCGCACGCAGGCGGUUUGUUAAGUCAGAUGUGAAAUCCCCGGGCUCAACCUGGGAACUGCAUCUGAUACUGGCAAGCUUGAGUCUCGUAGAGGGGGAUAGCAUUCCAGGUGUAGCGGUGAAAUGCGUAGAGAUCUGGAGGAAUACCGGUGGCGAACGCGGCCCCCUGGACAAAGACUGACGCUCAGGUGCGAAAGCGUGGGGAGCAAACAGG